This is a non-coding RNA of Caenorhabditis elegans, 21 nucleotides long. The record is from Ensembl. NCBI's taxonomy places the organism in Eukaryota, Metazoa, Nematoda, Chromadorea, Rhabditida, Rhabditidae.
UACGUUUUUUUCGGGUUAGUU